Molecule: transfer RNA, 73 nt
Filed under: Ailuropoda melanoleuca (giant panda)
Lineage: Eukaryota; Metazoa; Chordata; Mammalia; Carnivora; Ursidae
Rfam family: tRNA
About the family: Transfer RNA (tRNA) molecules are approximately 80 nucleotides in length. Their secondary structure includes four short double-helical elements and three loops (D, anti-codon, and T loops).
Source: Rfam by way of RNAcentral
ACCCGGCUGGCUUAGUUGGUAGAGCAUGUAACUCUUGAUUUCACGGUUAUGAAUUCAAGCCCCAUGCCAGAUG